RNAcentral lists this ribosomal RNA (253 nucleotides) under uncultured bacterium. Its description in RNAcentral is "partial 16S ribosomal RNA". It matches the Rfam family "Bacterial small subunit ribosomal RNA", at positions 524 to 776 of the family's 1533-position model. The record is from RNAcentral.
UACGGAGGGGGCGAGCGUUAUUCGGAAUUAUUGGGCGUAAAGGGCGCGUAGGCGGCUCGAUAAGUCAAAGGUGAAAUCCCUCGGCUCAACUGAGGAACUGCCUUUGAAACUGUCGAGCUUGAGUCCGGGAGGGGGUGGCGGAAUUCCCAGUGUAGCGGUGAAAUGCGUAGAUAUUGGGAGGAACACCAGUGGCGAAAGCGGCUACCUGGACCGGAACUGACGCUGAGGCGCGAAAGCGUGGGUAGCAAACAGG